This 464-nucleotide ribosomal RNA is filed under the name uncultured bacterium. RNAcentral describes it as "partial 16S ribosomal RNA". It matches the Rfam family "Bacterial small subunit ribosomal RNA", at positions 338 to 795 of the family's 1533-position model. The record is from RNAcentral.
CCUACGGGAGGCUGCAGUAGGGAAUCUUCGUCAAUGGGCGCAAGCCUGAACGAGCAAUGCCGCGUGAACGAGGAAGGUCUUCGGAUCGUAAAGUUCUGUUGAAGGGGAAAAAGAGCGGAGAGAGGGACUGGUCUCCGAUUGAUAUUACCCUUCGAGGAAGUCACGGCUAACUACGUGCCAGCAGCCGCGGUAAUACGUAGGUGGCGAGCGUUAUCCGGAAUGAUUGGGCGUAAGGGGUGCGUAGGCGGCCUGCUAAGUCGGGGGUGAAAGGUACCGGCUCAACCGGUACAGGCUCUGGAAACUGGCGGGCUAGAGAGCAGGAGAGGGCGGUGGAACUCCAUGUGUAGCGGUAAAAUGCGUAGAUAUAUGGAAGAACACCAGUGGCGAAGGCGGCCGCCUGGCCUGUUACUGACGCUGAGGCACGAAAGCGUGGGGAGCAAAUAGGAUUAGAUACCCCGGUAGUC